GAGUUUGAUCCUGGCUCAGGACUAACGCUGGCGGCGUGCCUAACACAUGCAAGUCGAGCGGGGUAGCAAUACCCAGCGGCAGACGGGUGAGUAACGCGUAAAUAACGUGCCCCUUUGUUUGGGAUAGCUGGCCGAAAGGCCAGGUAAUACCGGAUGUGGUUCUCGAGAGACAUCUCUUGGGAAAGAAAGCAGCAAUGCGCAAGGGGAUCGGUUUGCGACCUAUCAGCUAGUUGGCGAGGUAACGGCUCACCAAGGCUUCGACGGGUAGCCGGUCUGAGAGGAUGAUCCGCCACACUGGGACUGAGACACGGCCCAGACUCCUACGGGAGGCAGCAGUGGGGAAUUUUGGACAAUGGACGAAAGUCUGAUCCAGCCAUGCCGCGUGAGUGAAGAAGG
Molecule: ribosomal RNA, 396 nt
Filed under: uncultured Negativicutes bacterium
Lineage: Bacteria; Bacillati; Bacillota; Negativicutes
Description: bacterial SSU rRNA
Rfam family: Bacterial small subunit ribosomal RNA
Source: RNAcentral